Molecule: long non-coding RNA, 2083 nt
Organism: Coffea eugenioides
Lineage: Eukaryota; Viridiplantae; Streptophyta; Magnoliopsida; Gentianales; Rubiaceae
Exons: 4
Source: RefSeq, a predicted model, not a curated record
UUUGCUGAGGAUGGUGGUUGCUGUGCUGAGGUGUCUCCAUUUAAUUGGCUGGAGUUUGGUCGUCAUUCUCGUGCGCUUCGCGUGCUUCCGCCAAGAAGAGGAGAGCUGGACUUCCUGCUGUUGUCCGAGAAGAAGUGAGGAAGGACCUUCGAUUUUGAGAAGGAACCGUUCCUCAGUGCCGUCAGUACGCCAAGAAGAGGAGAGCUGGACUUCCUGCUGUUGUCCGAGAAGAAGUAAGGAAGGACCUUCGGUUUUGAGAAGGAACCGUUCCUCAGUGCCGUCAGUACCCUUUCCCUCGUCAGUAGCUUGCUAGCUGAGCUUAUGACGGUUGCUGAUGGCUUGAUCGAUGGCAAGUGCUGGGUGAUGGGCUCAAUGUGGGUUGCCAUGAUUUGACAACAUUGCCCUUCUUUUGAAACCAAAACCGCUCUAUCUUGCUGCCCUUCUUCCUUGUCUUUGCGAUUUGUGAGUCUCGCCUCUCCUCUGGACAGCUGCCGAAGAACACAUUUUUUCUGGUGAAAUAUUACAAAUUUUUUGGUCAGUCAUGUACUGCCUACCGUGCUAAUGUUAGAACCACUCAGUGUUCAGCUUCUAAACAAAAUUGCUUUGCCGAGCCUGCAAAUAUUACUCUCGUCUUUCCUUCUGGAGGAUUAGGUGGCUGUCAACAUGAAGCAUGUUGUUGGCAAGUUGAGUUGGAGGCUGAAAGAUUUAGGAUUGCUGUUACAGCUGAAGCUCAGAGCAUUUUUUAUGCUCUGUCCAAAACGGACUAGACCAUCAUGGGUGGGGCUUGAGGCAGCUGCUUGGUUGCAAAUAGCAUCCGGGAAUGCAUCCACUUUUCCUCUCUACUCCCACUCACUCAAAUCAGUUCUGGGAUUUAACCAGCAUGCUUGGGGUGGCUAAUGAUAUUGGGGAAAACAUGGGUUUGCUUCCAGGCCAUGCUUACAAGAAGUUUCCACCUUUGGUCAUUCUCCCUAUUGGCGCUUUUGCAUGUUUCUUCGGUUUUGGGGUUCUCUGGCUUGCUCUGUCCAGGACUAUUCCUUCGUUUCCUCAUUGACUGGUAACAUUCGUUUCCUGGUUUUUCUUGGGAAAAAAUUGCUCAUCUUAAUUUGAUUGCCUCCUUUUUAUUUGGAUAACUCUUUCCCUGUAAAGAUAUAGUCUUUAUUUUGAAUGGCUGUGGUAUAAUUUUGCUGACAUAUCCAUCAUGUAUGCCUUAUCAUCGACUACCUUCACAGUUUUGAUCUUUGAUGAUAAUGGAGUCGAGAGAGUCUUUCCAUGGUCUUGUAUCUUCAAAGUUUAUUCUGAUUGUCCUGCUUGUACCUAGCAUCUGCAGUAUGGUUUUGUCUACAAACUAAAUUCGCUUUUCUCUUGAAGUUCUUCAUCACACAUGUUCCAAACUUUUAUUUAAUUAAAGCACACUCUACAUUCCUGCUAAACAUGACUGCAUUUCGAUGAAAUUAAGCAUGCACCAAGUACAUUAUAAAUACCCAACAUCUAUUAUUGCUGCUACCUUUUCCCGCAUAAUCAGAGAUUAAUCGUUAACUAAUUUCAUAUCAAUGGCCUGUUAUGGCAUAAAACUCGAGUCCGCUCCCCCUUUAUUCUCAGCGUACACCAACUUUAUACCAUGUAUCACACUUCCAUUGUCCUGUCCAGAAUUGUUGCGUUAAUCCUUCCAAUUUUCAUUUUCAUGCAGACAAUUGAAUAAACGAUAUAGAAACAAUUCAACAAUGUCAAAUUAAUGCUUGUUGUAAAUUUAAAAAUGCCACAAAUAAUCAAUCCUCCACAGAAUAAUAGAAAAUAUUAAUAGUGUUUACUCAUUGUUUAAUACUUUUAAAUCUCCCAUUUACUUCUCCCAACACUCCAUCCCAUUUGUACAUGAAGCAGAAUCAUACUGAUGCACUUCAAUUUUUUUCGCCUCAAUUGUUUUCUUUUCGAUCUUUUUCUCAGCACCACCAUGUUAGAUGCACACCUUUAUUUGCUCACGCUUUCUUAUGAUGCUGCCUAUUUAAAAGUUUAAUCAUUUUAUAACGAAAUAACUUAAAUGCAAUUCAUCCAAAUCAUGAUAUCUCCACUUAUGAAUUUGGGCAUU